AAAGAAGCCAACUUGGCUUAGGCCGACAUUAAUGGUAGUAAACUUCUACAUUCCACACAUUUCAGAUAAUGUCUUCUAGUUGAAUAUAACCUGGAUACAACAUUUCAUUUACAACAUUUUCGGGAAGAAAAAAAAAAUAUAUAUAAAUAAAAAUAGAACAUAUGACGGAAACCCUUUAAACAUCGAAGCACCACUUCCUUCAUAACAUCACCUAGCGAUUGUUUUGUGAUCAGAAAGGGAACUCCUCUAAGUUCAGGACUGCAGAAUUAGAUACGGAGUGACAGCAGAGGUUCUUGCUGAGGUGUAUGACCUCAGAAGGUCAAGAGUAGUGUGCAUUUUUUUUUUACCAUGGUUGAAAUCCUCACCUAUCAUCAGACGGGUCGGUCAUCAUGGUUGAAAUCCUCACCCAUCCUCAGAGAGACGGGUCAUCAUUAUGGUUGAAAUCCUCAGAGAGACGGGUCAUCAUUAUGGUUGAAAUCCCCAGAGAGAUGGGUCAUCAUUAUGGUUGAAAUCCUCAGAGAGACGGGUCAUCAUUAUGGUUGAAAUCCUCAGAGAGACGGGUCAUCAUUAUGGUUGAAAUCCCCAGAGAGAUGGGUCAUCAUUAUGGUUGAAAUCCUCAGAGAGACGGGUCAUCAUUAUGGUUGAAAUCCUCAGAGAGACGGGUCAUCAUUAUGGUUGAAAUCCUCAGAGAGACGGGUCAUCAUUAUGGUUGAAAUCCUCAGAGAGAUGGGUCAUCAUUAUGGUUGAAAUCCGCACCCAUCCUCAGAGAGAAGGGUCAUCAUUAUGGUUGAAAUCCGCACCCAUCCUCAGAGAGAAGGGUCAUCAUUAUGGUUGAAAUCCUCACCCAUCCUCAGAGAGAAGGGUCAUCAUUAUGGUUGAAAUCCUCACCCAUCCUCAGAGAGAGACAGAUCAUCAUUGUAGAUGUGUUUAAAAGGCCCUACAAUCACUUAUUCUAUGUACAAACAUUGAGAUCAGGCGAUGAUUGAGGACAUUUUUCAACUGAAAACAAAACCAGUCGGUUAUUAUUGGACAAGUCCAAGUCGUCUUCCGUUUGAUACCUAAUGAAUACAAUCCUGUAUCAGCAGGAGGGGAGUGAUCAAAACAACAGUAUGAGGCAGCCGUGGGCAACAUCCCAAAUGGCACCCCCAUAUAGUUCCCUACCCAAUGGACCCUGGUCAAAAGUAGUGCACUAUAACAUCGGGAAUAGGGUGCCAUUUGAGACGCCUGAAAUGUUGAGAACAUGGCCACAGACCACCAUGGGGGAAGAUAUCAGGUCUGAUAGCAGCUCGUUCGCCAACAACCAAUGGGAGAUCACCUCUGACAGCAGCUAGAUCGCCAACAACCAAUGGGAGAUCAUCUCUGAUAGCAGCUAGAUCGCCAACAACCAAUGGGAGAUCAUCUCUGACAGCAGCUAGAUCGCCAACAACCAAUGGGAGAUCAUCUCUGAUAGCAGCUCGAUCGCCAACAACCAAUGGGAGAUCAUCUCUGAUAGCAGCUCGAUCACCAACAACCAAUGGGAGAUCAUCUCUGAUAGCAGCUAGAUCACCAACAACCAAUGGGAGAUCAUCUCUGAUAGCAGAAUCAUCACUAACAAGUGCUGUAAGUGCUGUUAUUGUGAAGUGAACAAGUCUAGGGGAAACAACGGCUUAGCCGCAAAGUGGUAGGCCACACAAGCUCACAGAACGGGAUUGUCGAGUGCUGUAGUUCGUAGCUCGUAACAGUCGUCUGUCCUCAGUCGCAACACUCAGUACGAGUUCCAAACUGCUUCUGGAAGCAACGUCAGCACAGUAACUGUUAGUCGGGACCUUCAUGAAAUAGGUUUUCAUGGCAGAGCAGCCGCAUACAAGCCUAAGAUCACCAUGCGCAAUGCCAAGCGUCGGCUGGAGUAGUGUAAAGCUCGCCGCCAUUGGACUCUGGAGCAGUGGAAACGCGUUCUCUGAAGUGAUGAAUCACGCUCCACCAUCUGGCAAUCCCACGGACGAAUCUGGGUUUGGAGAAUGCCAGGAGAACGCAUAGUGCCAACUGUAAAGUUUGGUGGAGGAGGAAUAAUGGUCUGGGGCUGUUUUUCAUGGUUCAGGCCCCUUACUUCCAGUGAAAAGAAAUCUUAAUGCUACAGUACACAAUUACAUUCUAGACGAUUCUGUGCCCCCAACUUUGUGGCAACAGUUUGAGGAAGGUCAUUUCCUGUUUCAGCAUGACAAUGCCCCCGUGCAUAAAGUGAGGUCCAUACAGAAAUGGUUAGUCAAGAUCGGUGUGGAAGAACUUGACUGGCCUGCACAGAGCCCUGACCUCAACCCCAAAAAACAUCUUUGUGAUGAAUUGGAACGCCG
Oncorhynchus tshawytscha (Chinook salmon) is the source of this 2330-nucleotide long non-coding RNA. The record is from Ensembl. Lineage: Eukaryota; Metazoa; Chordata; Actinopteri; Salmoniformes; Salmonidae.